AGCUGCUCAGGGUGGAAGAGCUGGCGGUACGUGCCAGUGCGCACCUCAUCGAUCACAGUGGGUUCUAGAUCAACGAAGAUUGCACGGGGAACGUGCUUCCCAGCACCAGUCUGGCUGAAGAAGGUGCUGAAGGCAUCAUCGUGAUGUCCCGCGGUCUUAUCUCCAGGCACUUGGCCAUCAGGCUGCGUGAAAUAGAAAGGUGUUUAAUGUGGUUCAGAUCAUAAAACGAUCAAAGGAACAUGAUUGCGAGGUGCCAUUAGUGUAAUAAGUAUUUGAAUCAGAAGGCAGGCGAGCAUCUCAAAUUCAUAGGAGAGAGAAAUUUCAGUACAGUCGUAUUACAGUUGCACAGCACAAACUAGAACUAAAGCGUCAUUCCUGCAUCAGAUCUGAGAAAUGGGAACAACAUGGGUAAAUUUUACAGAAUCAGAGCUUGAGUCACGAAAUAUUGCAGUUGUACAGCACAAAAGAAAGCAUCGUUCCACUGGAAAAUUUUGGAUCAGGCCGAAGAAAUGAAAACAACAUGAGUAAAAGUUACAGAAUCAGAGCUUGAUUCACGAAAUAGUAAAAGGCGAAUUCAAUCAAUUCCUAGUCGACAAUAACAGAAACAAAGAUAGCGCAGUUCAUCCACACACAAACCAGAUCCAAACCGGUCACGGAACGGCAGAUGACUUAUUACGACAUCGCAAUCUGUCAAGAAUUGGCGUGACCAUCAACAAAUACGAGAUGCCAAAUUCGAUCGGAACAUCCUGUUAUUUCUGCCGCAAAGUAUUAACAAACGAAAUCCACGAUACACCUAAAACACAGGAUGGUGGCAGCUUAAAUCGUGCAGGAAAUUUCAGAUCCUAGUAGUACUAGCAACAGAUCUGACGAAAAAAAAACCCUAACCUAAGCCACUUCAGUACUUCACCCCGAUUCGAGUACUAACGCCCUGCAACUGCAAAUUGCAGCACUCCUCGACGACAGAUCAGAAAACAAUCGAAGAUGGUGAUGGAGAUGCUUUUCAAGGAAGAGAAUACGAGCCGGUCGCACCUGGAUGCCGUGCUCGAGGCAGUAAAGUUCCCAGCACGCGUUGCCGACUUGGAUGCCGGCCUGCCCGAUGUGGACGGAGAUGCACUCCCUCAUCUUCCUCCUCUCCUCUCAAACAACCGCGCGCGACGCCUUCGGAAGAGACCGAGACUGGCGUGAAGGUCGAUCGGUGGGCGGAAUGGGGAAUUGAAGAUCUGUCGGGCUCGGGCGAGAGUUUGCGCCGGCGUUUGUGAAGACGCCGAG
RNAcentral lists this long non-coding RNA (1269 nucleotides) under Zea mays. Its description in RNAcentral is "long non-coding RNA (ZMAY_LNC002882)". The record is from RNAcentral. Lineage: Eukaryota; Viridiplantae; Streptophyta; Magnoliopsida; Poales; Poaceae.